CCCGCCCCCGCAGGCUCAACAACCCGUUCCUGCCCCAGACCAGCCGCCUGCAGCCCAGGAGGGACCCGUCCCCCGUGUCCGGACCCCCGCACCUCUCCAGCCUUUCUGGCCAGUGCUUCAGCCUGGUAGAAGCCACGUACAAGUACGAGCUCUGCCCCUUCCACAACGUGACCCAGCACGAGCAGACCUUCCGCUGGAACGCCUACAGCGGGGUCCUGGGGUGAGUGGC
Condylura cristata (star-nosed mole) is the source of this 229-nucleotide long non-coding RNA. RefSeq lists it as uncharacterized. NCBI's taxonomy places the organism in Eukaryota, Metazoa, Chordata, Mammalia, Eulipotyphla, Talpidae. The transcript is spliced from 3 exons. The record is from RefSeq and is a predicted model, not a curated record.